GAAAUGCGAUAAGUAAUGUGAAUUGCAGAAUUCAGUGAAUCAUCGAAUCUUUGAACGCACCUUGCGCUCCUUGGUAUUCCUUGGAGCAUGCCUGUUUGAGUAUCAUGAAAUCUUCAAAGUGAAUCUUUUGUUAACUCAAUUGGUUUCUACUUUGGUAUUGGAGGUCUUUGCAGCUUCACACCUGCUCCUCUUUGUUCAUUAGCUGGAUCUCAGUGUUAUGCUUGGUUCCACUCGGCGUGAUAAGUUAUCUAUCGCUGAGGACACUGUAAAAGGUGGCCAAGGUAAAUGCAGAUGAACCGCUUCUAAUAGUCCAUUGACUUGGACAAUACUUUUAUGAUCUGAUCUCAAAUCAGGUAGGACUACCCGCUGAACUUAAGC
Molecule: unclassified non-coding RNA, 378 nt
Filed under: plant metagenome
Description: partial contains 5.8S ribosomal RNA, internal transcribed spacer 2, and large subunit ribosomal RNA
Rfam family: 5.8S ribosomal RNA (bases 1-105)
Source: RNAcentral